RNAcentral lists this ribosomal RNA (223 nucleotides) under uncultured bacterium. RNAcentral describes it as "partial 16S ribosomal RNA". It matches the Rfam family "Bacterial small subunit ribosomal RNA", at positions 111 to 334 of the family's 1533-position model. The record is from RNAcentral.
UAACGCGUGAGGAACCUGCCUUGAAGAGGGGGACAACAGUUGGAAACGACUGCUAAUACCGCAUGAAGCAUAGGGGUCGCAUGAUUCUUAUGCCAAAGAUUUAUCGCUUCAAGAUGGCCUCGCGUCUGAUUAGCUGGUUGGCGGGGUAACGGCCCACCAAGGCGACGAUCAGUAGCCGGACUGAGAGGUUGAACGGCCACAUUGGGACUGAGAUACGGCCCAG